Molecule: long non-coding RNA, 915 nt
Filed under: Equus caballus (horse)
Lineage: Eukaryota; Metazoa; Chordata; Mammalia; Perissodactyla; Equidae
Description: lncRNA (ENSECAG00000046797.1)
Source: RNAcentral
GGCUGUUAGAGGCUGUAGGAAGAGAGCUCUAGGAUAUGAGGACAUGAGUUCUAAAGGACAAUCAGAACAGUAGAAAGGGUAAACAGAGAACAGAACUUCCAGACAAAGGAAAUAGUAUGCUCGAAGGCCCAGGGGUGGGAGCAAAGCUGAAGGUCUGGAAACACAUGUACUUGCAGAAAAUAGCUGGAUCCUUGUAUCUGCUUUUGCAUUCCAUCUGCGGUUGUAUUAUAUGCCACGUAGUCUCUGGAAACCUACGAGAGAAGAGGAUGAAAGGCAAAUGACGUCUUAGUAUGACUGUGAAAAGAGUGUUGCCCUCAUAGACCCCAUUGAAGCUUCUCAGGGAUCCCAUGGAUUCCCGGACCACCCUUUGAGAAACUUCUGGGGUAAAAGAUAAAUUGGAUAAAUGUGCCCACGUUUCCAUCAUCUGGACGUAUUUUUUUAAUUAUUAAAACAUUUUAAAACAUGUUUAAUCAUUCAGAAUACUACACGGCAAACAUUGUAACAAAUAUCUACAGUUUGUCUUAUUUCUUUCACAUUAAAAAUAAUAGUUCCUUACUCAAAAACCACUCCAUUUUGUUUCUCCUCAAAGGCAAAACUGUGAGAACUUCUUUUCAAAUUUCAAAUUUUCUUAGAUUCCUACAGGAUCAUAGUUGGAAAUUAAAUAUUUUUAAGAAAUAUAUGGCAAAUUGGUGACACGAAUUAUGUAACACUUUUAAAAAUGGAUGUUAGCAAUCGUUAUAGCAUCUCUAUAGCACUGACAAACUGCAUAUGGAAAGAUAUUAAUUUGGUGCUUAGGCCAUGCACCAAGAACAGAUAUAUUGUGGCAAAGCCUACAUUGAUUCCAUCAUUCACUAGGGUUCAGUGUUCUCUCUGUUAGAAACCACUGAAGUAAAUGAUCCUUAAGAUACACAGUAG